Molecule: ribosomal RNA, 254 nt
Filed under: uncultured bacterium
Lineage: Bacteria
Description: partial 16S ribosomal RNA
Rfam family: Bacterial small subunit ribosomal RNA
Source: RNAcentral
UACGUAGGGUGCAAGCGUUGUCCGGAAUUAUUGGGCGUAAAGAGCUCGUAGGCGGUCUGUCGCGUCUGCUGUGAAAACUCGGGGACUUAACCCCGGGCCUGCAGUGGGUACGGGCAGACUAGAGUGCGGUAGGGGAGACUGGAAUUCCUGGUGUAGCGGUGAAAUGCGCAGAUAUCAGGAGGAACACCGGUGGCGAAGGCGGGUCUCUAGUACGGUACUGACGCUGAGACGCGAAAGCGUGGGGAGCGAACAGG